This 45-nucleotide non-coding RNA is filed under the name Schistosoma mansoni. The record is from RNAcentral. Lineage: Eukaryota; Metazoa; Platyhelminthes; Trematoda; Strigeidida; Schistosomatidae.
NNCCAGCUGACCAGUCCCAAAUAGGACGAAACACGCGUCCUGGAU